GACCGGGUAGCUCAGUUGGCAGAGCAUUGGGCUAGUAUUCCAACGGUCGUAGGUUCGAUUCCCACCGUGGUCA
This 73-nucleotide transfer RNA is filed under the name Paramuricea clavata. It matches the Rfam family "tRNA". Rfam says of the family: Transfer RNA (tRNA) molecules are approximately 80 nucleotides in length. Their secondary structure includes four short double-helical elements and three loops (D, anti-codon, and T loops). Further hydrogen bonds mediate the characteristic L-shaped molecular structure. tRNAs have two regions of fundamental functional importance: the anti-codon, which is responsible for specific mRNA codon recognition, and the 3' end, to which the tRNAs corresponding amino acid is attached (by aminoacyl-tRNA synthetases). tRNAs cope with the degeneracy of the genetic code in two manners: having more than one tRNA (with a specific anti-codon) for a particular amino acid; and 'wobble' base-pairing, i.e. permitting non-standard base-pairing at the 3rd anti-codon position. Lineage: Eukaryota; Metazoa; Cnidaria; Anthozoa; Malacalcyonacea; Plexauridae. The record is from Rfam by way of RNAcentral.